GACGAACGCUGGCGGCGUGCUUAACACAUGCAAGUCGAACGGAAAGGCCCUGCUUUUGUGGGGUGCUCGAGUGGCGAACGGGUGAGUAACACGUGAGUAACCUGCCCUUGACUUUGGGAUAACUUCAGGAAACUGGGGCUAAUACCGGAUAGGAGCUCCUGCUGCAUGGUGGGGGUUGGAAAGUUUCGGCGGUUGGGGAUGGACUCGCGGCUUAUCAGCUUGUUGGUGGGGUAGUGGCUUACCAAGGCUUUGACGGGUAGCCGGCCUGAGAAGGUGACCGGCCACAUUGGGACUGAGAUACGGACCAGACUCCUACGGGAGGCAGCAGUGGGGAAUAUUGCACAAUGGGCGGAAGCCUGAUGCAGCAACGCCGCGUGCGGGAUGACGGCCUUCGGGUUGUAAACCGCUUUCGCCUGUGACGAAGCGUGAGUGACGGUAAUGGGUAAAGAAGCACCGGCUAACUACGUG
Molecule: ribosomal RNA, 468 nt
Filed under: uncultured bacterium
Lineage: Bacteria
Description: partial 16S ribosomal RNA
Rfam family: Bacterial small subunit ribosomal RNA
Source: RNAcentral